GACGAACGCUGGCGGCGUGCUUAACACAUGCCAGUCGAACGGAAAGGCCCCUUUGGGGGUCCUCGAGUGGCGAACGGGUGAGUAACACGUGAGUAACCUGCCCUUGACUUCGGGAUAACUUCAGGAAACUGGGGCUAAUACCGGAUAGGAAUCCUUGCUGCAUGGUGGGGGUUGGAAAGCUUCGGCGGUUUUGGAUGGACUCGCGGCUUAUCAGCUUGUUGGUGGGGUAGUGGCUUACCAAGGCUUUGACGGGUAGCCGGCCUGAGAGGGCGACCGGCCACAGUGGGACUGAGAUACGGCCCAGACUCCUACGGGAGGCAGCAGUGGGGAAUAUUGCACAAUGGGCGGAAGCCUGAUGCAGCAACGCCGCGUGCGGGAGGACGGCCUUCGGGUUGUAAACCGCGUUCAGCAGGGGCGAAGCUUGUGGUGACGGUACCUGCAGAAGAAGCACCGGCUAACUACGUG
This 465-nucleotide ribosomal RNA is filed under the name uncultured bacterium. Its description in RNAcentral is "partial 16S ribosomal RNA". It matches the Rfam family "Bacterial small subunit ribosomal RNA", at positions 28 to 507 of the family's 1533-position model. The record is from RNAcentral.